Triticum dicoccoides is the source of this 1106-nucleotide long non-coding RNA. RefSeq lists it as uncharacterized. The record is from RefSeq and is a predicted model, not a curated record. The transcript is spliced from 2 exons. NCBI's taxonomy places the organism in Eukaryota, Viridiplantae, Streptophyta, Magnoliopsida, Poales, Poaceae.
CAGCUGACCAUGACGGCUGUGGAUCCCCCUCCCCCUACCCUACCUUUCUCCUUCAUCGCCACCCCACCCUACCUGGCUUCUUCCCCCGCCGCCGCCCCCCACCAGCAUCUGGCAUAUUCCACCGCAGGCGCCCUGCACUAGUCGUCUCCCUCCCCACCUUCUUCCACCUCAAGGAGACGGGAUCCGGGCCGGCAAAACGUGCCCUUGCGCGGCCACGACCAGCCCCAGCUGCGACAUCCGGCGACGACAUCCCGGUACAUGGCGGCAUGCUAGGAGAUGGAUCGCGACGGAGUGGCGGUCGUCCAUGCCGUGGCGAUGCGGGGUCGUGCUCCUCCUGGAGAUCAGCCCGGUAGGCGGCGCCGGCCAAACCUCCCCUAACCCCGGAUCCACACCUCCCCGGCGGGGAUCAGGUGGAGCGAGGCCAGGUCGAUGCGGGUGGUGCCUGCCUUGCACUACAGAUCCCCACGGCGGUCCCUCCCCGCGUCGACGAGCACCAUGACGGCGAGAUCUCGCCUAGCCCUCCCUUCCUCUGCUUCCUCUGCUCGCCGGUCUCUCCCCCCCAAUCUGCAGAUCACCGGCAGCGCCCCAUUCCAUGCCGCAGUUUGUUUCGGUCGUCCACACCAUAGAUCAUGGAGCCAUGGUCCAUGCAGUCGAUUUUGCGUGCAGUUACAGUCAACCCCACGGGCAUAGGAGGACGUGGGCAGUGCAUUUUGGAGUUUUUAUCCAUUCCAGAGUUGCGGUGCAGUUUGGAGUUUUGUGUGUGUUGAGAAGCUACAGAAAAUUGCACUCUGACUAAGUUUCUCAAGUGCAAAUAAUGUUAUUACAUUCAGUUUUGGUUAUGCAUUGGCAGUGCGGUACUUCAGUGCUAAAUUUGGCGUAGUGGACGGCAAUGUGUGUGUGUGUGUGUGUAUGUGUGUGAAUCUGUACAGUGUUGUUUGGCUCCAGUUUUGGUUACUCAGCGUGUUAGUUUUGUUACUCAUCGCCUGUAGUUGUGCAGAUUCCGCACCACACGUGAGGGUUCCUCCGGGCAUCAGCUUGGCAGUCUACCUGGCUCGGUUGUGAACUUGUGUGCAAUUCAAUAGCUGUGGAUGGUGUCAUGUUUUAUA